UAGAAAUUGAUAUUUAAACAAAGCGGCUAAAUUUAAAGAGGAUAAUAUUUCCAAGAGCUGUACGCGCAGCUUUUUUCUAUUAAAAAAAUUGUCACACAAAAAUGUUAUAGUCAUGUUGAUUUGUGUGUUUUUGUACGUUUCUUUUCGUUAAAUAAUUUUCGUUUUUGAGCCAAAGAAUAAGGUAGGUACCGUUAGAACUCCGAAAAUGCAUUUUAGCGCAUUGUUUGACAAUAUCGAAAGUUAUAAAAAAACACGAACGACAAUUACGAUACUGCGGAAUACAAUUCAUUAACAUCAAAAAAGGUGUAAUAUGUUUCGUGUUUGCUUGUUCGAUACAAACUGUUAAUAAAAACUGUAAUUUUUUUACAAAGUAAGAUUUUUUCGAUCGACUUAAAGGACGGCAUUGAUGUUAUUGACGAUCUUAGAAUCGCGAUAAGUUUACCCGACGAUUUUGAAAUAUUCGUUCUCGGCGGUAUUUGAUUUUCCUAC
Molecule: non-coding RNA, 489 nt
Organism: Cinara cedri
Lineage: Eukaryota; Metazoa; Arthropoda; Insecta; Hemiptera; Aphididae
Source: the annotation of a GenBank genome assembly